AGACGUCCUCAGCAUCUGCAUUCCUCCCGGCUUCUUCCGCCCAUCCCAGCCGCUCGUGAAGCCAGCCAUCCUUCCGUUUCAGCCUCCCACACCCGAUUUCAAGCUGUGAUCCCAGCGUCCAAAGCUUCCGGAGCCGAUCCAUCCUCCUCCGCCUCUGCUUCCGCCCGUGAUGCAUCCAAGAUCCAGCAUCUCAGCCUCUCCCAUUGUCCACGACGCAUCCGGAUCCACCUCCCGAAAUCUCAGGCGCCCGUUCCCCCUCCUC
This 262-nucleotide long non-coding RNA is filed under the name Phoenix dactylifera (date palm). RNAcentral describes it as "long non-coding RNA (PDAC_LNC019313)". The record is from RNAcentral. Lineage: Eukaryota; Viridiplantae; Streptophyta; Magnoliopsida; Arecales; Arecaceae.